GUGCCUACAAUUUCUGCAUGCUUAUUUAAAUACAUAUUUCAUAGUCACUGGAAUAUAACUACAUGCUUCACUGACAUCAGUUCUUCCUGGAUCCCACAAGGAGGAAAUUUACCUGCUAAUGCAAUGCAUUUGGAGAGAGAGCAGAGAGCCGCAGCCCGGUUUAACAUGUGCAGUGCAUUCUUACUGCGUCUUCCUUCGGUAUCACAGAGCUUAUGGAUGUGGAAUCCUUCAAACUCAGCUCCUGGAGCUGUAGAAAUAGACCAGAUGCCGUGCUCUCCAGAAAGCUGGUUUGGUAACAGGUUUCAGCUGUGUGAACAUUCAAUUCCCUGAUCCAGGAGCAUGGACCUCAGAGUGAACAGGCUAAAAAGGGAUGCUGUGGACACUUUCUCCAUCAUUCACCUCUCCUUCUAAAGCUCUAGCACUGAGCGGUCCCAGUUCUAAAGAGCAGUCCUGUGUACCCCCAUUUAUGGUUUUUUAAUGUUCAAUUAAUAUUACGGAAACAAAUCCUUUCAGCAACUUCUAAAUCAAUUUUCUAAAAUCUGCUUGUCUCAGAAUUUACCAACAAAACAUACAGCUUUCUGAAGACGCUAAUGUUCACAGCCCUUUAUGCCACUUUAUCACACCUCAUGUUCUCAAAGCCCUGGAGCAAAAGGAAUUUUUUUUGUUUAUUUACAUUUCUGGGAAAGAAUUCCCACUUGCUUCUGUACCUUAUCAUUUUUUUUGCCAAAAUCAAACCUAAAAUUUAUAGAUAAUACCUUUUUCUUCAUUAAAAUCAUGAAAUAUGUUAAAAUCCUACCUGCUAAAAAAAAGGAGGGGGAAUUUCAUGUGGCUCAAGACAAAAGACAUUUUUCAUAAAAUUAGUUAAAUUAAAAAGUGAAAUCAAAAUAAGAAUGAAGUUGAAUUCCAGCUGUCAGCCAGGGGCCUCCUCUUCCAGUAAGUCACCAGACAGACAAUAAUGUGAACGCUGAU
Long non-coding RNA from Globicephala melas (long-finned pilot whale), 969 nucleotides. RefSeq lists it as uncharacterized. Lineage: Eukaryota; Metazoa; Chordata; Mammalia; Artiodactyla; Delphinidae. The record is from RefSeq and is a predicted model, not a curated record.